UACGAAGGGGGCUAGCGUUGCUCGGAAUGACUGGGCGUAAAGGGCGCGUAGGCGGAUUGUCCAGUCAGGCGUGAAAUUCCCGGGCUCAACCUGGGGGCUGCGCUUGAGACGUGCGAUCUUGAGUGGGGAAGAGGGUCGUGGAAUUCCCAGUGUAGAGGUGAAAUUCGUAGAUAUUCGCAAGAACACCAGUGGCGAAGGCGGCUCACUGGCCCGAUACUGACGCUGAAGCACGAAAGCGUGGGGAGCAAACAGG
This 253-nucleotide ribosomal RNA is filed under the name uncultured bacterium. Its description in RNAcentral is "partial 16S ribosomal RNA". It matches the Rfam family "Bacterial small subunit ribosomal RNA", at positions 524 to 776 of the family's 1533-position model. The record is from RNAcentral.